CAGUCGCCGCGGUAAUACGUAGGGUGCGAGCGUUAAUCGGAAUUACUGGGCGUAAAGCGUGCGCAGGCGGUUUUGUAAGACAGGCGUGAAAUCCCCGGGCUCAACCUGGGAAUGGCGCUUGUGACUGCAAAGCUGGAGUGCGGCAGAGGGGGAUGGAAUUCCGCGUGUAGCAGUGAAAUGCGUAGAUAUGCGGAGGAACACCGAUGGCGAAGGCAAUCCCCUGGGCCUGCACUGACGCUCAUGCACGAAAGCGUGGGGAGCAAACAGGAUUAGAUACCCCUGUAGUCCCUGUCUCUUAUAC
RNAcentral lists this ribosomal RNA (301 nucleotides) under uncultured bacterium. RNAcentral describes it as "partial 16S ribosomal RNA". It matches the Rfam family "Bacterial small subunit ribosomal RNA", at positions 509 to 807 of the family's 1533-position model. The record is from RNAcentral.